AGUAUGUGGUUUAAUUCGAUGACAACGCGAAGAACCUUACCGUAGGUUUGACAUCCGGAAACCUACCGAAAGGAAGGGUGCCCUUCGGGGAAUUCCGAGACAGGUGCUGCAUGGCUGUCGUCAGCUCGUGCCGUGAGGUGUUGGGUUAAGUCCCGCAACGAGCGCAACCCUAUUGCCAGUUGCUACCAGGUAAUGCUGGGCACUCUGGUGAGACUGCCCCGGUUAACGGGAGGAAGGUGGGGACGACGUCAAGUCAUCAUGGCCCUUACGCCUAGGGCUACACGCGUACUACAAUGGCGCAUACAAAGGGCAGCGAUACCGCGAGGUGGAGCCAAUCCCAAAAAGUGCGCCCCAGUCCGGAUUGCAGUCUGCAACUCGACUGCAUGAAGUUGGAAUCGCUAGUAAUUCGAGAUCAGCAUGCUCGGGUGAAUGCGUUCCCGGGCCUU
RNAcentral lists this ribosomal RNA (446 nucleotides) under uncultured Desulfovibrio sp. Its description in RNAcentral is "bacterial SSU rRNA". It matches the Rfam family "Bacterial small subunit ribosomal RNA", at positions 936 to 1382 of the family's 1533-position model. The record is from RNAcentral. Lineage: Bacteria; Pseudomonadati; Thermodesulfobacteriota; Desulfovibrionia; Desulfovibrionales; Desulfovibrionaceae.